This 500-nucleotide ribosomal RNA is filed under the name uncultured bacterium. Its description in RNAcentral is "partial 16S ribosomal RNA". It matches the Rfam family "Bacterial small subunit ribosomal RNA", at positions 28 to 507 of the family's 1533-position model. The record is from RNAcentral.
GACGAACGCUGGCGGCGUGCUUAACACAUGCAAGUCGAACGGGUCUGCCCUGUUUUUUGCGGGGUGGGUCAGUGGCGAACGGGUGAGUAACACGUGAGUAACCUGCCCCUCACUUCUUGAUAACCGCUUGAAAGGGUGGCUAAUACGGGGUGUUCUGGCUGUGCCGCAUGGUGUGGCUGGUAUUGAUUCACUUUUGUGGUGUUUUGGCGGAGGUUGGGCUCGCGGCCUAUCAGCUUGUUGGGGGGGUGAUGGACUGCGAAGGCUUUGAGGGGUAGCCGGCAUGGGAGGGUGGGCGGCCACACUGGGACUGAGAGACGGACCAGCCUCCGGCGGGAGGCAGCAGUGGGGGGUAUUGCACAGUGGGAGGAAGCCUGAUGCAGCGACGUGGCGGGAGGGAUGGAGGCCUUCGGGUUGUGAACCUCUUUCGCCGGUGAAGAAGGUCCUGCUCUUUGUGGUGGGGUUGACGGUAGCCGGGUUAUGAAGCGCCGGCUAACUACGUG